This 550-nucleotide ribosomal RNA is filed under the name Colletotrichum gloeosporioides. RNAcentral describes it as "eukaryotic LSU rRNA". The stretch from base 186 to 339 matches the Rfam family "5.8S ribosomal RNA". Lineage: Eukaryota; Fungi; Ascomycota; Sordariomycetes; Glomerellales; Glomerellaceae. The record is from RNAcentral.
GGAGGGAUCAUUACUGAGUUUACGCUCUAUAACCCUUUGUGAACAUACCUAUAACUGUUGCUUCGGCGGGUAGGGUCUCCGCGACCCUCCCGGCCUCCCGCCUCCGGGCGGGUCGGCGCCCGCCGGAGGAUAACCAAACUCUGAUUUAACGACGUUUCUUCUGAGUGGUACAAGCAAAUAAUCAAAACUUUUAACAACGGAUCUCUUGGUUCUGGCAUCGAUGAAGAACGCAGCGAAAUGCGAUAAGUAAUGUGAAUUGCAGAAUUCAGUGAAUCAUCGAAUCUUUGAACGCACAUUGCGCCCGCCAGCAUUCUGGCGGGCAUGCCUGUUCGAGCGUCAUUUCAACCCUCAAGCUCUGCUUGGUGUUGGGGCCCUACAGCUGAUGUAGGCCCUCAAAGGUAGUGGCGGACCCUCCCGGAGCCUCCUUUGCGUAGUAACUUUACGUCUCGCACUGGGAUCCGGAGGGACUCUUGCCGUAAAACCCCCCAAUUUUCCAAAGGUUGACCUCGGAUCAGGUAGGAAUACCCGCUGAACUUAAGCAUAUCAAUAA